Molecule: ribosomal RNA, 253 nt
Filed under: uncultured bacterium
Lineage: Bacteria
Description: partial 16S ribosomal RNA
Rfam family: Bacterial small subunit ribosomal RNA
Source: RNAcentral
UACGAAGGGGGCUAGCGUUGCUCGGAAUCACUGGGCGUAAAGCGCACGUAGGCGGAUUUCUAAGUCAGGGGUGAAAUCCUGGAGCUCAACUCCAGAACUGCCUUUGAUACUGGGAAUCUCGAGUCCGGGAGAGGUGAGUGGAACUGCGAGUGUAGAGGUGAAAUUCGUAGAUAUUCGCAAGAACACCAGUGGCGAAGGCGGCUCACUGGACUGGUACUGACGCUGAUGCGCGAAAGCGUGGGGAGCAAACAGG